ACACACAAAGCUGCCUGCAAAAAGCACUCUGCACCUUACUCAUGUCUAUGUCUACACUAGCACUUAUAGGCUCUAAAGCUGUGAAGGCUAAGCAUGUAUGCAGAGAUCUGCAGGUUUCUUUGAAGCAGUGGAACCACAAUAGAGAAAAAGGGGGUUUAAGCAGCCCAAGAGAAAAACAGUGGUCAGGCCAGUAUCCCUUCGAAAGAGGUAAUCCAGACUCCUUAUUGUCAGGACCAGACUGAUUAGGGUGACCAGACAGGAAAUGUGAAAAAUCAGGACAGGGAGUGGGGGGUAAUAGGAGCCUAUAUAAGAAAAAGACCCAAAAAUCAGGACUGUCCCUAUAAAAUCGGGACAUCUGGUCACCCUAAGACUGAUAUAUUGCUCAUCUCUAUCUUUAAUGGAGAAGAGGCUGAUCCUUGUCCUCCGUUUUGAAGUUCUUCAACCAAAUUAUAAUGCAUUGCCUGGAACAGUGAAUCAGUCAGGAGCAGGGGACUGGCAGCAGGAAGAAGGCAGCAGGCUGGUUCAUCUCCUGGAGGCAGGGAAUGAAUGCCUUAACAGUGACCCCUCUGGCUGAUUAAGGCAUGGCAGCAGUGAUGAGUUUUGGAGUCCCUGAUUUCAAGGUACUUAAUGCCCUGGGCCCAGGGUAAUUCAAAGAUCAUCUAAAGCUCUGGGGUGAGGGCUCUGAUCAACAGCUCCACUCCUCAGCCACAAUGGAACUUUAUAACAUAAGACUAAAGCUCGUCUAUGCAGGAGGAGACAAAGCUUUCUCGGGGUCCAGUCUGAGACUGUGGAAUGAACUGCCACAGGAACAAAGAACCAUCACAAAUCUCACUAUCUUCUAUUCCAAGUGCAAGGCACACAUCUUCAACUGGCCUUUUCUAGCGUAAACAUAGAGCAGCAUGUACAUUUUUUUAAAAGAAUCCAAAUUUCAAAUCCACAAUACUUCCUCUGGGGAGAGAGUGAGAGAAAGAAUGAACCACACAUGACAGAUAUUAGUCACUUGACUUAAUUCAUUUCUGGAAGGUGCUUAUAUACCACAGUGAGGAGGGCAGUAUAGGAACAUAUACAAAAUAGAAUAGGUCUUUGCAAUGUUCAUUAGUCAUUUAUCUUUACAUUGCUUAAUCUAGUGAAGACCUCUUAGGGGGAAAUCAUGGUGUUAUUGAAGUCAAUAGGAGUUUUUUCAGGAUUUCACCCUCUAGAGUUUUGGGUGACUCUCAAAGUUCUACAUCACUUAAAAACUGAAAUAUUGUUCCACUCACACACCUUGUCUAUACAAUAGAAUGAAUUAUGAAAGACUUUAAUGAAAAUGUCUUGUCAUUUUAUUUCUGAAUUUUGAAAUUCAAAAUGUCAUUGAAAUUUCAAAUUUAAAUAAAUUCUUACCAUUGCUGCCAUCAUCCUAGUUAAAUGAACUGAAAUAACAUGUAUCGUUGUUAUUUUUGUAAUAAUGACCAUUCCUAAAUAUCAAACAGAUAUAUUUUCCUGAUAUCAGGCCACAUACAUCGACCACAGAGCUAAAAUAAUGAACCUUAUGUGAACCAGCCACUAUCUGGGACAAAGAUUCACACUCUUCUAUAGUAUGGCUAUACUUGGAAUUUUAGUCAUAUUUUAACACAUGUAAGCAGGGUCUGAAUGAGCUCUCCGCUGACAUCUAGUGAUGAGCUGUGGAAGAGGACUUCAGGAGCUGACCUCGUUUAAAUAGGCA
Molecule: long non-coding RNA, 1702 nt
Organism: Dermochelys coriacea (leatherback sea turtle)
Lineage: Eukaryota; Metazoa; Chordata; Testudines; Dermochelyidae
Exons: 4
Source: RefSeq, a predicted model, not a curated record